This 29-nucleotide non-coding RNA is filed under the name Homo sapiens (human). Lineage: Eukaryota; Metazoa; Chordata; Mammalia; Primates; Hominidae. The record is from RNAcentral.
UGCAAGGUUUUAUUAAGUGGAAGUAGCUC